This 923-nucleotide long non-coding RNA is filed under the name Lactuca sativa (garden lettuce). Its description in RNAcentral is "long non-coding RNA (LSAT_LNC008415)". The record is from RNAcentral. Lineage: Eukaryota; Viridiplantae; Streptophyta; Magnoliopsida; Asterales; Asteraceae.
AAUGAUCAUCAUAUUACUUUUAUUUAAUAUUAUUGUAAAGUCGUUUUUAAUUUACAUAUGUUUAAAAUCAACAAAUUAUAUAAAAAAGCUUUAUAAAUUACUUUAUAAAAAUAUGAUAAAUUAAUUAAUAUUAAAACAUUCCAACCAACCCAACAAAAAAGCAUCGGGUAAUAUUAGAAUGAAAUCAACAUCUAAUUUUAUUUCUUAGGCCUGAUUCGACAUCUAAUUCUAUCAGACCAUCCACAAUACCUGCUACGAACAACGAACCACCUCAAUAUCAUCGCCUUCCACAACGAAGCCGGUAUACUCAUCACACAGUGAUUGUGGUGGUGGUGGAUUUCACCUGCAACAGAGAAGAAGAGAGAAGAAGACUAGUCGCGGUGGGCUGUAAUGGGAAGCACGAGAGACCACGACCAUGGCUCCAGGUCAGCACAACGAGAGGAUCGGGGCGGUGUUCACAUUACCUGUUUCCACUUCAAUUUCUGGUUUUGAUUUGGGGAUUUAAGUUCAUUAAGGAGGGUUUGAGAAGUAAUUGCUAGGAUUCUUUUAUGAAAUCGGUGCUUCAAGCUCUUCCCCUGUCAAACAAUAAACUUAAACACCCAAUCACCCAUUGAUUUCUAUAAAAAAAAAAAAAUGAAGGCAAACAGCCGGAGCUGUUGCCUCGUUUCCAACCUCAACGACUAGCUGGAGACCCUUUCCCUUAAUCAGAUUCUUUCAAAACGAAAAAAGGAGAUACCUUCUGCGUUUGAACUCCAAUCACCUAACAAUCUAUACUUGAACCUUUUCUCAUCCUUCCGUCGAUCCUUGUUGACAAACCGUCCCCACCGGAGAUGCCUCCCCCUCCUCGUGACCUAGUAACCAUCGCCAAAGAUCGACUGCUCCUUGUUUGUUAUAGAUUACCACCAUCGAGCCACUUCCUNCAC